UGUAGGAGCUGGCUUGCCAGCGAUGCAGGCACCUCGGUAUGCCAGAUACACCGAGGUGAUGCGAUCGCCGGCAAGCCAGCUCCUACA
RNAcentral lists this unclassified non-coding RNA (87 nucleotides) under Pseudomonas brenneri. The record is from RNAcentral. Lineage: Bacteria; Pseudomonadati; Pseudomonadota; Gammaproteobacteria; Pseudomonadales; Pseudomonadaceae.